This 468-nucleotide ribosomal RNA is filed under the name uncultured bacterium. RNAcentral describes it as "partial 16S ribosomal RNA". It matches the Rfam family "Bacterial small subunit ribosomal RNA", at positions 28 to 507 of the family's 1533-position model. The record is from RNAcentral.
GACGAACGCUGGAGGCGUGCUUAACACAUGCAAGUCGAACGGAAAGGCCCUGCUUUUGUGGGGUGCUCGAGUGGCGAACGGGUGAGUAACACGUGAGUAACCUGCCCUUGACUUUGGGAUAACUUCAGGAAACUGGGGCUAAUACCGGAUAGGAGCUCCUGCUGCAUGGUGGGGGUUGGAAAGUUUCGGCGGUUGGGGAUGGACUCGCGGCUUAUCAGCUUGUUGGUGGGGUAGUGGCUUACCAAGGCUUUGACGGGUAGCCGGCCUGAGGGGGUGACCGGCCACAUUGGGACUGAGAUACGGCCCAGACUCCUACGGGAGGCAGCAGUGGGGAAUAUUGCACAAUGGGCGGAAGCCUGAUGCAGCAACGCCGCGUGCGGGAUGACGGCCUUCGGGUUGUAAACCGCUUUCGCCUGUGACGAAGCGUGAGUGACGGUAAUGGGUAAAGAAGCACCGGCUAACUACGUG